Molecule: ribosomal RNA, 429 nt
Filed under: Chloroflexota bacterium
Lineage: Bacteria; Bacillati; Chloroflexota
Description: Chloroflexi bacterium partial 16S ribosomal RNA
Rfam family: Bacterial small subunit ribosomal RNA
Source: RNAcentral
UGGGGAAUAUUGCACAAUGGGCGCAAGCCUGAUGCAGCCAUGCCGCGUGUAUGAAGAAGGCCUUCGGGUUGUAAAGUACUUUCAGUCGGGAGGAAGGUGGUAAGGUUAAUAACCUUAUCAAUUGACGUUACCGACAGAAGAAGCACCGGCUAACUCCGUGCCAGCAGCCGCGGUAAUACGGAGGGUGCAAGCGUUAAUCGGAAUUACUGGGCGUAAAGCGCACGCAGGCGGUUGAUUGAGUCAGAUGUGAAAUCCCCGGGCUUAACCCGGGAAUUGCAUCUGAUACUGGUCAGGUAGAGUCUUGUAGAGGGGGGUAGAAUUCCAUGUGUAGCGGUGAAAUGCGUAGAAAUGUGGAGGAAUACCGGUGGCGAAGGCGGCCCCCUGGACAAAGACUGACGCUCAGGUGCGAAAGCGUGGGGAGCAAACAGG